GUUACAAUGCGAGAGCAGAUGGCCUGGCAUCCAUUUGAUGGUACCGGAAUAUGCAAAAGCAGUCUCAGAAUACUUACUUGAAGGGACCCGAGACUAUUCUUUUUGGAUUACAUAUUUGAAGAUAGGUGAUCAGUUCCUCCAUCGACCAUCCAUGGCAAGUGUCUAAAGCUUGCGAAAGUGAUUUUCUAAUACUUGCAAGCUUUCUAUUCCCAAGCAUCCACCUCCUUAUUCUCUUUCUUCUUGCUUGGCUUUAAGAGUCUCUUUAAUUCUCCAAUCAUUAUAGCUUUCUUUUCAUCGAGAGCCUCCUUUUUGGAAGGGACUUCCGUCAGUUUACCUUGUAAUACACCGGGAAACCUUCUCACAGGUCACAACCAAACCACUCCAACCUCUGCCCACGAAUCACAAGAGUGUAUGUAUCAUAUCCACCUCGGCUAGAGAAGAGCAUUUGGCCAGAACUCAUUGGCAGUUUCUUAUCUCUGCGGAAGAGAAGUUUUUUAGACAGAAAUCUAGAGUGGGGUGGAUGCAUCUUGGUGAUAGGAAUACAGCUUAUUUCCACAAGUGUGUGUCUCAACGUGCUGCAAGAAACCAUAUUCAUUUUUUGCGAGACGCUACUGAUAGAAAGAUUGUUGAGACCACAGAAAUAAAAGAGUAUGCGGCUGACUACUUUCAAGGUAUCAUAGGAAGCACUAGUAUGCCUAGCUCUCCUGUGUCCAUUUCUGAGUUGCAGGUUCUUCUCUCUUUUAGAUGCAAUGACACUCAACAGCAUGAGCUUCAGAAAUUGGUGUCUGCGGAAGAAGUUAAGGCAGCACUUUUUGCAAAGCCACUUAACAAGAGUCCAGGCCCUGAUGGGUUCUCUGUGGAAUUUUAUCGAGCAUCAUGGGACACUGUAGGAGCUGAUGUUAUCUCAGCAGUUCAGGAAUUUUUCAGGAAUGGGCGCCUUCUAAAGGAUUUCAAUAACACAUCAAUUACUCUUAUCCCGAAGCAGCCUGAAGCGUGCCACUUGGGAGAUUAUCGCCCGAUUAGCUGCUGUAAUCUGACUUAUAAAAUCAUCUCGAAGAUCAUUGCCAACCGUCUAAAGCCUCUUCUUCAAGACUGCAUCAGUCCAAACCAGGCUGCUUUCCUAAAAGGGAGAAGUCUUGGUGAAAAUGUCCUACUUGCCUCAGAUUUAAUCAGAAACUACCAAAAAGAAAACUGCCCUAAGAGUUGCAUGCUCAAGUUGGACAUUAGAAAGGCUUUCGACACAGUUUGUUGGGAUUUCGUGUUGAAAGUUCUCGCAGCUCAAAACUUUCCACCUCUCUUUUGUACUUGGAUCAAUGAAUGCAUCUCCUCUCCUAGGUUCUCUAUUUCAAUUAAUGGUGAGCUUGCGGGUUUUUUCCCAUGCAAGAAAGGUAUUCGACAGGGAGAUCCUAUCUCUCCUUAUCUGUUUAUCAUGGUCAUGGAGGUGCUCUCGAAAUUAUUGGAAAAGGCUGUGGUGCAAGGGGACAUAAGGCUUCACCCUCUAUGCUCUUCCCCUGUCGUCACUCACCUUCUUUUUGCUGAUGACUUGUUAUUAUUCUCUGAUGGUGCUAGGCAUUCGUUGACUGGUAUUGCCAAGGUUAUGCUCCAUUUCAAGAGGUUAAGUGGGCUGGAAGUGAACCCCUCAAAGUCUGAGAUUUUCUUCGGGGGUUAUUCGGAUUCUCAGGUGGCAGUCCUUAGUGCCUUGCAAGGAAUAAGUGUUGGCUCUUUCCCCACUAGAUACUUGAGGCUACCUCUCAACCCGGCCAGAAUCUCAUUUGCUACCUUGCAGCCAUUUAUUGAGAAAAUCACCAACAAGCUUCAUGUGUGGACGGUAAGGUUUCUAUCCUUUGCUGGGAAAAUACGCCUUAUCUCUUUAAUUUAUGGCAUGGUCAAUUUUUGGAGUUCUGUGUUCAAUCUGCCAAAAAGGUUUUAUGCCAAGGUGGACUCUCUAUGUGCUGCUUUCCUAUGGAAGAACAAAGUGUCAAAUGCUGCGGGGUCUAGAGUAGCUUGGAUUGAUGUUUGUAAGCCCAAGGAAGAAGGUGGACUUGGUAUUCGGCUGCUUGAGGACUUUGCCAUUGUCUUUCAGCUGAAGCUUAUUUGGAACUUAUUUACCAAUGCGGGCUCUUUAUGGGUAGCUUGGCUCAAAGGUAACAUUUUCCUCAGGAAAAGCUAUUGGACCAUUGUAGACAGUCUGAGGCUCUCAAGGACCGUCAAAAACAUGAUUCGGCUAAAACCAUAUAUUGUUAACUUUAUGCGCUGUGAAGUGGGUAACGGGAAUCAUGCUUCAUUCUGGUUUGAUCAUUGGACUGUCCAUGGUCCUUUGAUUUCUUUCUUAGGAGCGACUGGGCCUAGGGACUUGAGAGUAAGGAGAGAAGCUCUUGUUGCUGAGGCAGCUAGAAAUGGAGAGUGGCGGAUGCCGGGUGCUCGAUCUGAGAAUCAACAACAGCUCAUGAUCACACUAACAACCAUUACUCCUCCAAAUAUCUCUAAUGGUCAGGAUAUCUAUCUAUGGCGUCGUGUGUCAGGAAGUUUUGCUGAAUUUUUCUCUUCUAAGGAAACUUGGGAGCAAUUGCGAACUCACUCUCCUUUGGUGUCUUGGAGUAAGGUGGUCUGGUUCAAGGAAGCGGUUCCUCGCUUCUCAUUUAUCACUUGGCUUGCGUUUAAAGGAAGAUUGCCUACGAAAUACAGAUUACGCGGUUGGGGACUGAAUAUCCCUGCAGCUUGUGUACUCUGUUCCAACGGAUUAGAAACUCACAACCAUCUAUUCUUUGAAUGUCCCUACUUAGCAACUGUUUGGCAUGCUUUUGCUUCGAGGAUCUUGAUCAAUCCACCAUCUACAAUCGCUUCCAUCUCUUCUUGGAUUUUGCAGGCUCAAGCUCCAGCUCAAUCUCAUGCUAUAAUCACCAUCAAGCUGCUUCUUCAAUCGGCGUGUUACUUCAUUUGGAGGGAGCGUAACGCAAGGAUUUUCACCUCCAUUAUCUCUCCCAGCUCAACUGUGCAAGCUUCUUUGGAUCGCUCCAUUCGAGACCGCUUCCUCUCUUUCCCGGGGGUUCUUCCUCCUCGGUUUCUUUACUUGCUUUCUACUUUGGUUGUAUCUCUUUCCCCUUCUAGCUUCUUGUCUUUUGUUUGAUUAAGUUGUUUUUUUUUUUGUCAUCUUGAAAUUUUAUUAUUGAAUUUGAUGUGAAACCAGAGUAGGAUUACAAACGCUCAAACAAGGGAACUUAAGCCGGCGGACAAACUGAAGUCCCCGGAAGCACUGCUGGAGGAAAAAGAAACUUCCCCGGAAUCUAGGCCCUAACAAGGGAGACGAAAAGAACUAGCAAUAGAAAGCAGAAAUUAUCAAACCACAAUCGAAAGAGGACGAAUUCUUAAAAUAAAAGCAGAGGCAACUAGGCUUAAACCAAAGGGAAAUGAUAGAUCCAAAGAAACAGAGAAUCAUCUUCUUCUGAAACACCUGCAAAUGCAAUUUAUCAAGGAUGCCCACGGCCAACCCAAAGAUAACAUAUACCUCCUCCUAUCAUUAAAAUGAAUUUUUCACUUUACAAUGUUUGAUUAAGUUGUUUCAACAUUGUAAAGUGAAAAAUUCAGAAAAUGGUAUAAAAUUUAACCUUGUACCAAAAAAAAAAUAUCCACCUCGGCCUUUGAAAUAUUGGCAUCUUUCUGACUUACAUUUUCGGCUUU
RNAcentral lists this long non-coding RNA (3678 nucleotides) under Arabidopsis lyrata. RNAcentral's name for it is "long non-coding RNA (ALYR_LNC001508)". The record is from RNAcentral. Lineage: Eukaryota; Viridiplantae; Streptophyta; Magnoliopsida; Brassicales; Brassicaceae.